Molecule: ribosomal RNA, 253 nt
Filed under: uncultured bacterium
Lineage: Bacteria
Description: partial 16S ribosomal RNA
Rfam family: Bacterial small subunit ribosomal RNA
Source: RNAcentral
UACAGAGGGUGCGAGCGUUAAUCGGAAUUACUGGGCGUAAAGCGCACGUAGGUGGCGACGUAAGUCGGGUGUGAAAGCCCCGGGCUCAACCUGGGAAUUGCAUUCGAGACUGCAUUGCUGGAGUACGGAAGAGGAAGGCGGAAUUCCCGGUGUAGCGGUGAAAUGCGUAGAUAUCGGGAGGAACAUCAGUGGCGAAGGCGGCCUUCUGGUCCAGUACUGACACUCAAGUGCGAAAGCGUGGGGGGCAAACAGG